This 301-nucleotide ribosomal RNA is filed under the name uncultured bacterium. RNAcentral's name for it is "partial 16S ribosomal RNA". It matches the Rfam family "Bacterial small subunit ribosomal RNA", at positions 509 to 807 of the family's 1533-position model. The record is from RNAcentral.
CAGUCGCCACGGGAACACGUAGGGUGCAAGCGUUAAUCGGAAUUACUGGGCGUAAAGCGUGCGCAGGCGGUUUUGUAAGACAGAGGUGAAAUCCCCGGGCUCAACCUGGGAACUGCCUUUGUGACUGCAAGGCUAGAGUACGGCAGAGGGGGAUGGAAUUCCGCGUGUAGCAGUGAAAUGCGUAGAUAUGCGGAGGAACACCGAUGGCGAAGGCAAUCCCCUGGGCCUGUACUGACGCUCAUGCACGAAAGCGUGGGGAGCAAACAGGAUUAGAUACCCCAGUAGUCCCUGUCUCUUAUAC